CUAAUGUUUCUUGCUUAAAUGAGUAUUCCAUGGAAGUGAUUCACUCACAUAUAGACCUAAUAAUAUGAGUGGGUUUCUCCUCUUUGAUGAGAUGCUCAUUUGAGCAAGCAAUGUUUG
This is a microRNA precursor of Eutrema salsugineum, 117 nucleotides long. It matches the Rfam family "MIR828 microRNA precursor family". The record is from Rfam. Lineage: Eukaryota; Viridiplantae; Streptophyta; Magnoliopsida; Brassicales; Brassicaceae.